Molecule: ribosomal RNA, 730 nt
Filed under: uncultured Pseudomonadota bacterium
Lineage: Bacteria; Pseudomonadati; Pseudomonadota
Description: bacterial SSU rRNA
Rfam family: Bacterial small subunit ribosomal RNA
Source: RNAcentral
AUUGAACGCUGGCGGCAGGCCUAACACAUGCAAGUCGAACGGUAACAGGAAGAAGCUUGCUUCUUUGCUGACGAGUGGCGGACGGGUGAGUAAUGUCUGGGAAACUGCCUGAUGGAGGGGGAUAACUACUGGAAACGGCAGCUAAUACCGCAUAACGUCGCAAGACCAAAGAGGGGGACCUUCGGGCCUCUUGCCAUCGGAUGUGCCCAGAUGGGAUUAGCUAGUAGGUGGGGUAACGGCUCACCUAGGCGACGAUCCCUAGCUGGUCUGAGAGGAUGACCAGCCACACUGGAACUGAGACACGGUCCAGACUCCUACGGGAGGCAGCAGUGGGGAAUAUUGCACAAUGGGCGCAAGCCUGAUGCAGCCAUGCCGCGUGUAUGAAGAAGGCCUUCGGGUUGUAAAGUACUUUCAGCGGGGAGGAAGGGAGUAAAGUUAAUACCUUUGCUCAUUGACGUUACCCGCAGAAGAAGCACCGGCUAACUCCGUGCCAGCAGCCGCGGUAAUACGGAGGGUGCAAGCGUUAAUCGGAAUUACUGGGCGUAAAGCGCACGCAGGCGGUUUGUUAAGUCAGAUGUGAAAUCCCCGGGCUCAACCUGGGAACUGCAUCUGAUACUGGCAAGCUUGAGUCUCGUAGAGGGGGGUAGAAUUCCAGGUGUAGCGGUGAAAUGCGUAGAGAUCUGGAGGAAUACCGGUGGCGAAGGCGGCCCCCUGGACGAAGACUGACGCU